GGAUGAACGCUGGCGGCGUGCCUAAUACAUGCAAGUCGAGCGAACAGACGAGGAGCUUGCUCCUCUGACGUUAGCGGCGGACGGGUGAGUAACACGUGGAUAACCUACCUAUAAGACUGGGAUAACUUCGGGAAACCGGAGCUAAUACCGGAUAAUAUAUUGAACCGCAUGGUUCAAUAGUGAAAGACGGUUUUGCUGUCACUUAUAGAUGGAUCCGCGCCGCAUUAGCUAGUUGGUAAGGUAACGGAUUACCAAGGCAACGAUGCGUAGCCGACCUGAGAGGGUGAUCGGCCACACUGGAACUGAGACACGGUCCAGACUCCUACGGGAGGCAGCAGUAGGGAAUCUUCCGCAAUGGGCGAAAGCCUGACGGAGCAACGCCGCGUGAGUGAUGAAGGUCUUCGGAUCGUAAAACUCUGUUAUUAGGGAAGAACAAAUGUGUAAGUAACUAUGCACGUCUUGACGGUACCUAAUCAGAAAGCCACGGCUAACUACGUG
RNAcentral lists this ribosomal RNA (498 nucleotides) under uncultured bacterium. Its description in RNAcentral is "partial 16S ribosomal RNA". It matches the Rfam family "Bacterial small subunit ribosomal RNA", at positions 27 to 507 of the family's 1533-position model. The record is from RNAcentral.